UUGACCGCGGCUACGUUCGGCGACUGGUUGUCGCCUCGAGCCCAAGAUCACUAUCAUAACUCUCGAACAAUUACAGUCGGAUUGAAUGACGGCAAUUGCUUAAUUACGGCUAUGGUAGAAUAUAAAUUACAGUAUUAGGGGGUUUUCCCAAAGUUUCAAAGGGAAGGCUCCGGUGUUCCUUCAUCUCCGACAUAUAUAUAUAUAUAUAUAUAUAUAUAUAUAUAUAGUGUAUUAAAUUUAUUCGAAAGUACUAGAAUAGUUUAUUGGACAAAGUGAUCGAUCCGAACUGUGCGUAGUUUAUGACGGUGACUCGGCCGUCUAACGAGCGCAUGUUCCACUGUUGCAGAGUUUUUCGUUGGUCGGAGCUGUGUAAGAUAUUUUGUGUAAUUGGAAAUUUAACGCAAAGUUGUAUGUUAUUGGUUUGUUUUUCUUUGUAUAAAUUGAAUUGCGAGCAUGAAUGGACGAUGCAUCUGGAGAAAUGGACUGUGACGAAUAACAACGAGCAGCAAGAGGAUUAACAAGAGGAAGAAGGAAAAGAACGUUUAAUCGUUGAUAAUGAGAAAAUGUAUUAUCUGGUUGGUUGCGUGCGAGCGUGAGAGAAAACGUGUGAAACGAGGGAAGGGCUGGGAGAAGUAUCUUGUAAAUGUGUAAAUAACAAGUGUAAAUAAAAUAAUUUGGAAAUGUGAAACGUUUUGCGUAAAACAAGUAAUGAUAAGAGCGUAAAAAUAUGGGGUGAAAAGACGAGGUGUGUAAUAAAGAUGCGUAAAUAAAAUAAACGCGUUGCUCACUUGGGUGCGUGGAAGGGUGGAGCAGGAAAGGUAAUAGCGAUGUUAAUUAAGCAUGGGAAUUUGUCAAAACAUGGGUUAGUUUUGUUAGAAAAUUGUAAAAUAUGUAAAAAGAUUGUAGACGUUAGAUGCGUGAAAGUUGAAAGAAGUAAGAAAAGAAGGAAAAGAGAGUAUAAAAUGAUAAUAGGUAAUACGUAAGGCAAUAUAAUUUUCUGGAUGGUAAAAGAAUGGAUUUGUUUGGAUUCUAGGAGACUAAAGAAUAAAUAAAGAUCCAUUUAGGAGAUACGUGCGCGUUGUUUAUUCGACCAUUGACCAUAAAUUGUGAAAGUAGGCUUUAAAAAGAUAAAUGACAGAUAUAAUA
RNAcentral lists this unclassified non-coding RNA (1146 nucleotides) under Bombus terrestris (buff-tailed bumblebee). RNAcentral's name for it is "misc RNA ENSBTSG00005038863.1". The record is from RNAcentral. Lineage: Eukaryota; Metazoa; Arthropoda; Insecta; Hymenoptera; Apidae.